UACGUAGGUGGCAAGCGUUGUCCGGAUUUAUUGGGUUUAAAGGGUGCGUAGGCGGCCCUGUAAGUCAGUGCUGAAAUACCCCGGCUUAACCGGUGGGGUGGCAUUGAUACUGCAGAGCUUGAGUACAGAUGAGGUAGGCGGAAUUGACGGUGUAGCAGUGAAAUGCAUAGAUAUCGUCAGGAACACCUAUAGCGAAGGCAGCUUACUGGGCUGUAACUGACGCUGAGGCACGAAAGUGUGGGGAGCAAACAGG
RNAcentral lists this ribosomal RNA (253 nucleotides) under uncultured bacterium. RNAcentral's name for it is "partial 16S ribosomal RNA". It matches the Rfam family "Bacterial small subunit ribosomal RNA", at positions 524 to 776 of the family's 1533-position model. The record is from RNAcentral.